RNAcentral lists this ribosomal RNA (506 nucleotides) under uncultured bacterium. RNAcentral's name for it is "partial 16S ribosomal RNA". It matches the Rfam family "Bacterial small subunit ribosomal RNA", at positions 29 to 523 of the family's 1533-position model. The record is from RNAcentral.
AGUGAACGCUGGCGGUAGGCCUAACACAUGCAAGUCGAACGGCAGCACAGGAGAGCUUGCUUUCUGGGUGGCGAGUGGCGGACGGGCGAGGAAUACAUCGGAAUCUACUCUGUCGUGGGGGAUAACGUAGGGAAACUUACGCUAAUACCGCAUACGACCUACGGGUGAAAGCAGGGGAUCUUCGGACCUUGCGCGAUUGAAUGAGCCGAUGUCGGAUUAGCUAGUUGGCGGGGUAAAGGCCCACCAAGGCGACGAUCCGUAGCUGGUCUGAGAGGAUGAUCAGCCACACGGGAACGGAGACACGGUCCAGACUCCUACGGGAGGCAGCAGUGGGGAAUAUUGGACAAUGGGCGCAAGCCUGAUCCAGCCAUACCGCGUGGGUGAAGAAGGCCUUCGGGUUGUAAAGCCCUUUUGUUGGGAAAGAAAUCCAGCUGGCUAAUACCCGGUUGGGAUGACGGUACCCAAAGAAUAAGCACCGGCUAACUUCGUGCCAGCAGCCGCCGUAA